This is a long non-coding RNA of Bos taurus (domestic cattle), 748 nucleotides long. Lineage: Eukaryota; Metazoa; Chordata; Mammalia; Artiodactyla; Bovidae. The record is from Ensembl.
GCAGCAAGCACCUUUUGGGACUGUACGGCAGAGAUGAGCGACCCAGGGUAGCCAGCAGAGGGCGCUCCUGCUAUAGAUUUGAGGCUCCAGUGGACGGGCUAUUGAGCCUCGGGUUUAACCAGGAUCGGAUCAUUCUUGGAAAGCGCCGGGGUCUGUAGUCCUAAAGGAAGCAUUCUGGCUUCCCUCUUAGGGGUGGCGACCUUGGAAUCAAUCCAGAAAGGCAACUUGGUCUCCCAGACUGCCCAGGAAGUCUUCCUUCAGGCCAGCCAGCUUUUCUAGAAGGUUCUCCAGGGAGUCAGUCCCAGGGCUCUGCCUCUGGAGUCUCUGCGCUUCCCUCACUUGCCUCUAGAUGGAAGAUUUCCUCACCUGGUGCCCAACAGGCUCCCCCUGCGGCCACAUCCAGCAAACCUGUGGAUGCUAGAAUUCUCAGAACCAAAUGCAGCCCUUAUCUUCUGCCGCAAAGCGUGACAGGCUUGUGUGUGGCUGUUAUCAAGCAUCAUUUGCUAUGUCCGUUUUUGGGGACAGAGAGGAGGACACAGGGUCCCUGCCUGAGUCUAGAGGAGGAGACAGGAAAUAGAUGUGACCAUGCAGGGUGGCCAUCCUUUCAGCCUGGGGGCCGGCCUUUGGCCCCCUUCCAGCUUUCACAUCGCCACCAAAGUGAGCCCUUCUUCAAACUCCCUGAUGCCCAGACUCAUACGAGAAAAAUUUUAGCGAAUGUGACCUAGGGGAAAUCAUUUGUUUGGGGAAA